UGGGGAAUAUUGGACAAUGGGGGGAACCCUGAUCCAGCCAUGCCGCGUGUGUGAAGAAGGCCUUAUGGUUGUAAAGCACUUUAAGCGAGGAGGAGGCUCUUUUGGUUAAUACCCAAGAUGAGUGGACGUUACUCGCAGAAUAAGCACCGGCUAACUCUGUG
Molecule: ribosomal RNA, 161 nt
Filed under: uncultured bacterium
Lineage: Bacteria
Description: partial 16S ribosomal RNA
Rfam family: Bacterial small subunit ribosomal RNA
Source: RNAcentral